RNAcentral lists this ribosomal RNA (228 nucleotides) under uncultured Erysipelothrix sp. RNAcentral describes it as "partial 16S ribosomal RNA". It matches the Rfam family "Bacterial small subunit ribosomal RNA", at positions 1157 to 1378 of the family's 1533-position model. Lineage: Bacteria; Bacillati; Bacillota; Erysipelotrichia; Erysipelotrichales; Erysipelotrichaceae. The record is from RNAcentral.
GAUAAACCGGAGGAAGGUGGGGAUGACGUCAAAUCAUCAUACCCCUUAUGGCCUGGGCUACAAACGUAAUACAAUGGCGUAUACAAAGGGAUGCGAAAGGGCGACCUGGAGCAAAACUCACAAAGUACGUCUCAGUUCAGGUUGGAGUCUGCAACUCGACUCCAUGAAGGCGGAAUCGCUAGUAAUCGCGGAUCAGCAUGCCGCGGUGAAUACGUUCUCCGGGGGUUU